Molecule: non-coding RNA, 45 nt
Organism: Schistosoma mansoni
Lineage: Eukaryota; Metazoa; Platyhelminthes; Trematoda; Strigeidida; Schistosomatidae
Source: Rfam
AUCUAGCUGAUGAAUCUCAAAUAGGACGAAACACACGUCCUGGUU